This 472-nucleotide ribosomal RNA is filed under the name uncultured bacterium. Its description in RNAcentral is "partial 16S ribosomal RNA". It matches the Rfam family "Bacterial small subunit ribosomal RNA", at positions 28 to 507 of the family's 1533-position model. The record is from RNAcentral.
GACGAACGCUGGCGGCGUGCUUAACACAUGCAAGUCGAACGCUGAAGCUUGGUGCUUGCCCUGGGUGGAUGAGUGGCGAACGGGUGAGUAAUACGUGAGUAACCUGCCCUUGACUCUGGGAUAAGCCUGGGAAACUGGGUCUAAUACUGGAUACGACAUGUCACCGCAUGGUGGUGUGUGGAAAGGGUUUUACUGGUUUUGGAUGGGCUCACGGCCUAUCAGCUUGUUGGUGGGGUAAUGGCUCACCAAGGCGACGACGGGUAGCCGGCCUGAGAGGGUGACCGGCCACACUGGGACUGAGAAACGGCCCAGACUCCUACGGGAGGCAGCAGUGGGGAAUAUUGCACAAUGGGCGGAAGCCUGAUGCAGCGACGCCGCGUGAGGGAUGACGGCCUUCGGGUUGUAAACCUCUUUCAGCACGGAAGAAGCGAAAGUGACGGUACGUGCAGAAGAAGCGCCGGCUAACUACGUG